GGCCGCAUUAAUCUUCCUUCCUGGGGGAUCAAAGGUUCUUCUAAAAGCCGUGACAAAAGCAGUGUAGUUGUAGACUAAAGGAUUGUCAUUCUCCCAAAGGGGAUUGGCCCAUCUAAGUGCUUUAUCUAUUAGCAGGGUUAUAAUAAAGCCUACCUUAGCCCUGUCAGUGGGGUAAGCCUGGGGUUGAAGUUCGAAAUGUAUGCUUAUCUGGUUUAAAAAACCACGACAAGCAUCAGGCGAACCCCCA
Pelobates cultripes (western spadefoot toad) is the source of this 247-nucleotide non-coding RNA. The record is from the annotation of a GenBank genome assembly. Lineage: Eukaryota; Metazoa; Chordata; Amphibia; Anura; Pelobatidae.